RNAcentral lists this long non-coding RNA (1206 nucleotides) under Gallus gallus (chicken). Its description in RNAcentral is "lncRNA (ENSGALG00000053892.2)". The record is from RNAcentral. Lineage: Eukaryota; Metazoa; Chordata; Aves; Galliformes; Phasianidae.
AGCAAAGUCUUUUGGCCUCUCAUACAGGAGAUAGGAGCGCAUCCAGCAUGGUACCGGUUAAUAUCGUCUUAGAUGACGGUUUGGGAAUACCAAUGGGAGAAAUUGGACAAAUGUGUGUUGCCGAGAGCAGUCAGCUGGAGAUAUUUGGACACUUGAAAGAUCCUCAGAAACUGCUUUUGGAGGACCUUGGGCCUGUGCUGAAAGGGUCUUGCCAGCAGCCAAUGAGAACAUCAAGUGCUCUAAUCCCCUUUACUUCGGUGUGGGAGGCAGCAGUGCGGGAGGUGCCGGCUCUGCGGGCUGCAUCACGGUGACGUGCCCUGCUCCCAGCCCAUGUGCAGCAAACGUUCUUUCAGUACUUCUCCGUCAGGAGGAUGAUGAGGGCUAACUAAAUGCAUCUAAACAUAACCACAGAAGAGGGGGGAAAUACACUGUGUGAGCAAACCUGAUGCUCUUCCUACUUCAUUAGAAUUUAAUGAAGAAAUACUCAGUGCCCAACAGGAGAAUCCUAAUUCAUUAUGUCCUUUGAAUUCUCAUUAAGCAUAUGUACAGUGACUACCAGAAAACAGCAUACUUUCGACUCUGUUGUCCAUUACUCUGCCUAAUAGCUCUGUUGUCCAUUACACUUAAAUGCUGAUAACAGGAGAAACCUAUGCAAGUUUUAUUCCAGUAAUUAAUUUUCACUGGUUAAUUCCUGACGACUUUCCAAUGUUGUGCUGGUGCAGUGAAUCAGAAUCAUUACACGAGUGAGGUUAAAGCUGCCUUGGUGAUGCUCUGAGAAAAGAGAUGGACUCCACUGCACCUCUUGUGCCCAGCACAAGGGUUCUGCCUUGGAGCUGCUCUGUUAUGUGAAACCUUAUUAUGCACGUAAGUGGUGUAAACUGAAGGGCUGAAUGAUGACAGAAGCUGUCUGGAGCUAUCCAGGAGGUGUAAUGCUCUGCGUAGCUUUGCACUACUCGGGUGAGCACUUUGGAAGGAGGCAUGUGCCAGAAAACAUGGCACUGCUAAAUGUUUCUGACGUAUUAUUUAGCUUCAGGCAAUGUUUAAAAGCUGCAUAAUUGCUCACAGCUAUAUUUAAGUUGUAUUAUUGCAAUUGUCAAAGGAGACAGAUAUUAAUUCCUGUAUUUCUUCACAGUUAUUAAUACUCCCAUUUUUUACCUUUAUUACUCAAAAUGGUUAAUGGCUCUGAAAUAAAGAAUCUUUAAGGGC